RNAcentral lists this ribosomal RNA (259 nucleotides) under Synprosphyma cf. suilla TM-2021. Its description in RNAcentral is "partial 16S ribosomal RNA". The record is from RNAcentral. Lineage: Eukaryota; Metazoa; Mollusca; Gastropoda; Stylommatophora; Clausiliidae.
UGACUGUCUCUUCUAAGGAUUAUUGUAAACUUGCUUAUUCAGUGCAAAUACUGAAAUAUUAAAUAUUAGACGAGAAGACCCUAGGAGCUUUAUUUAAUUACAUGAACAUAAUUUUAAUAAAUUGGUUGGGGCAACCACGUUACAUAUAACUAAUGCAAUAGGACGGAAAACCUGCACAAUGAUAUUUUGAAUGACGUAGCUACCCUAGGGAUAACAGCAUAAUUUAUUUAUUAAGAUUGUGACCUCGAUGUUGGAUUAG